This 497-nucleotide ribosomal RNA is filed under the name uncultured bacterium. RNAcentral describes it as "partial 16S ribosomal RNA". It matches the Rfam family "Bacterial small subunit ribosomal RNA", at positions 28 to 507 of the family's 1533-position model. The record is from RNAcentral.
GAUGAACGCUGGCGGCGUGCCUAAUACAUGCAAGUCUAGCGAACAGACGAGGAGCUUGCUCCUCUGACGUUAGCGGCGGACGGGUGAGUAACACGUGGAUAACCUACCUAUAAGACUGGGAUAACUUCGGGAAACCGGAGCUAAUACCGGAUAAUAUAUUGAACCGCAUGGUUCAAUAGUGAAAGACGGUUUUGCUGUCACUUAUAGAUGGAUCCGCGCCGCAUUAGCUAGUUGGUAAGGUAACGGCUUACCAAGGCAACGAUGCGUAGCCGACCUGAGAGGGUGAUCGGCCACACUGGAACUGAGACACGGUCCAGACUCCUACGGGAGGCAGCAGUAGGGAAUCUUCCGCAAUGGGCGAAAGCCUGACGGAGCCACGCCGCGUGAGUGAUGAAGGUCUUCGGAUCGUAAACCUCUGUUAUUAGGGAAGAACAAAUGUGUAAGUAACUAUGCACGUCUUGACGGUACCUAAUCAGAAAGCCACGGCUAACUACGUG